RNAcentral lists this ribosomal RNA (135 nucleotides) under Maylandia zebra (zebra mbuna). Lineage: Eukaryota; Metazoa; Chordata; Actinopteri; Cichliformes; Cichlidae. The record is from RNAcentral.
CCCAACAUGCAUGCGUGUGUGUGUGCGUGAGGGGGGGGGGGUCAUGUAUCUCAUCUGAAGACAGAAGCUAAGCACAGGUGGGCCUGAUUAGUACUUUGAUAUGAGAACACUUAAGAAUACUAGGUAAUGUAAGCU